UACGUAGGGGGCUAGCGUUGUCCGGAUUUAUUGGGCGUAAAGAGCUCGUAGGCGGCUCGGUAAGUCGGAUGUGAAACCUCCAGGCUCAACCUGGAGACGCCAUCUGAUACUGCCGUGGCUUGAGUCCGGUAGAGGAGCAGGGAAUUCCUGGUGUAGCGGUGAAAUGCGCAGAUAUCAGGAGGAACACCAGCGGCGAAGGCGCUGCUCUGGGCCGGUACUGACGCUGAGGAGCGAAAGCGUGGGGAGCGAACAGG
This 254-nucleotide ribosomal RNA is filed under the name uncultured bacterium. RNAcentral describes it as "partial 16S ribosomal RNA". It matches the Rfam family "Bacterial small subunit ribosomal RNA", at positions 524 to 776 of the family's 1533-position model. The record is from RNAcentral.